Molecule: non-coding RNA, 527 nt
Organism: Chiloscyllium plagiosum (whitespotted bambooshark)
Lineage: Eukaryota; Metazoa; Chordata; Chondrichthyes; Orectolobiformes; Hemiscylliidae
Source: RefSeq, a predicted model, not a curated record
GUUGGGGAAGGGAAAUAUGUGACAAUAGACAAAUCAAACUUGACCGAGCAGUGAAUGCGAUUUUAGUUUUGAAGUUUUCAAGUUUUUAUUUUUGAGUUCAACGAAGCUAAUGCUACUUUUUCAUAAAUUCUCAGUCAAUGGGGCUGUUGGAUAAGAAAAGUCUGAAGAUCAGUGGAAUUAAGGAUUUCUCAUGGUCUCCAGGUGAUAACGUUAUUGCAUUCUGGGUGCCAGAGGACAAAGAUAUUCCAGCCAGAGUCACAUUAAUGCAGUUUCCAACACGACAAGAAAUGAGAGUGCGCAAUCUGUUCAAUGUAGUGGACUGUAAAUUGCACUGGCAGAAAAAUGGCGAUUACCUGUGUGUGAAAGUGGAUAGAACCCUGAAGGGUAUACAGGUACAUUUGUAUGGAUGCAGCUGAUAAGAUUGCAAGAAAAGCCCAAACAAAGAAUUGGAUUUCAAAUAGCUUGUUUCAUCUGGCACAAGUUUGCCUGUUUUGCAAACCAAAAUAAUUAAACAUAAAAUGAAUCUA